AAUUAAUAUAUUUAAAAUUAAUAAUUAUAUAUUAAUAUAUACUUAUAUACAAGAUAAUUCAAUUUUUAUCAAUUUUAUUAAAAAAUUUUAUUUUAUUACGUUAAAUAUUUAUAAAUUAUUUUAAUUUAAUUAUCUAAUUAAAUUAUUAUUAAUUAAUUAUAAUAGCAAUAUUUAUAAUAGUAUUGUUAAUUUUUUAUUUUUAUAUUUUAAAAUAUAUAUAUAAUGUACGUAUCCAUUAUGUAUUUCCAAUGUACGUACAGCAGAUACUCACAGGAAAAACCAACGAGACUAAUAAUAAAAUCAAUGAAUUAGAAAAAAAGAGCUAUAGACAAAUAUCUUAUAAUAUACCGUGGCAUAAUCUGCAAUUUAUUAUAAAAUAAUUGAUCCGAGCAGUAUCAAUUAUAAAAGAAGAUGGCUGAAUAUGAUAGACACUGUCGAAUACUAAUCAAAUAUAAUCAUUUAGUUAAUCUUUAAGAUUUAAGUUAAGAUACAUCUUUGAGGAAUCAAUAAGUGUUUCGCUAAUAGCCUAAUAGAUCUUUUGAUAGAUCAAACGAAGAAAUACCUAACCGCGAUUACAGCCAAUUGGUACAUAUUAUUCGAUACAUAAUUAAUAUUUGUAUCACGUACAGCGAUGCAAGUGGUAUUGAAGAAAAUAGCCAUUUUAUGUUACAACUAUAACGAGUAAAUUUACUCGUUUACCUUGAGAGGAAUUAAAAAGGUACCUGACUUUUAAAUAAGCAUUAAAUAAGAAAUUUAAAUAUCGCAGACGGUGAUGUAGGUGUUAUUCAAGAAAAGAGAACAUUUUAUUUUGUAAUUAGCACGAGUAAAUGAACGAAUAUCGAUAAUAUAAUAUAAUGAUUAAUAUGAAUUUUAUCUGGCUGAUUAUUUAAAUACCAUAACAUAUUUCACAGUAACGUCAUCGACUGCCGUUAGGCUCUUUUCCCUUUUUGUUCAAACUAAUUGAUAGUCGAAAACUAGUAUCAAGGAGGUGUGAAUUUAGUCUUAGUUUGUAGAAACUAUUAAAAUGAUAAAAAUGGAUACCGUAUUAAAUCGUCGAAGGCGCCAAUUUACGAUAAAAAUUAAGAAAUUGUUCAAUUUGAUUUUGUUAUAAUGGAAAACCCGUCCUUUGCUAUGUCAAGAGAUCGUUAACGUUUGAUUGACAUCUCGACACCUUGUCAAGAUAUAUAAGGAACGCGGAAGUCGCGCGCGAGCUCUUUCGUGUCUGAAAUUCCGGACAGUGAACAUCCAAGAAGAAUUUAAAUAUAAGCGUUGAAAACUUAUGUGGGUGAAACGCUAGAAUUGACUGGAGUUCUUCGACAAGAAAUGGGCACUUGUCUUUGCAUAGACAGCAACAAUGUGCCUCCGACAGUCAGCAAACGUUACUCUGUACAAGUUCACUGUAAACAAAAUAAAAACCUGCCAAGCACUGUGGCGGCACGGGCCACGGAACUUUUCAACGGCUCCGGAUGCAAAGCGCGACGCCGCCAAAGCGCAACACCGACGUGCCCAAUGUACCAUCGAUAUCUUCACACUCUUUCCGCCGAAUUCUCGGAAGAGCAUACACGUGCCAGCACUGGCGGCACAUCUAAUGAAUGCACGCUAGUGGGGGAUAUCGAUGGGCUACGAAGGGAAGAAUCUGCGCGAUCCGAAACAAAAGCACAGGCAGUCUGUCUUACGCCAUUAAAUGUGUAACUCCUCGGUACUAUUUGCAUAGCAACGCGUCGAAUGAUCUCUCGGUGUCUAUCGUUAUUUGUUAGUUGUUACCAGUUGUCUGUUAAGUGUAAUUGUUAAUUGUUAAUUGUUAACUCUGAUUGUUGAUUAGUUCUAAAUAAACUAUUGUUCGUUAAAAACACCAAGA
Molecule: long non-coding RNA, 1858 nt
Organism: Bombus huntii
Lineage: Eukaryota; Metazoa; Arthropoda; Insecta; Hymenoptera; Apidae
Exons: 3
Source: RefSeq, a predicted model, not a curated record